RNAcentral lists this ribosomal RNA (1434 nucleotides) under metagenome. RNAcentral's name for it is "bacterial SSU rRNA". It matches the Rfam family "Archaeal small subunit ribosomal RNA". The record is from RNAcentral.
ACCCGUUGAUCCUGCGGGAGGUUGCUGCUAUUGGGAUUCGACUAAGCCAUGCAAGUCAGGGGGUUCUUCGGAACCACCGGCAAAAUGCUCAGUAACACGUCGUUAAUCUGCCCUUAGGUCAGGGAUAACCUUGGGAAACUGAGGCUAAUACCUGAUAGAGGAACUCCGCUGGAAUGCGUUUUCCUUGAAACUCGUGCCUAAGGAUGAGACGGCGGCAGAUUAGGUCGUUGGAGAGGUAACGGCUCACCAAGCCGAAGAUCUGUACGGGCCUUGAGAGAGGUAGCCCGGAGAGGGGAACUGAGACACUGUCCCCAGCCCCACGGGGUGCAGCAGGCGCGAAACCUUUACAAUGCACGAAAGUGUGAUAAGGGGAUCCCAAGUGCUCAUGCAUUGCAUGGGCUUUUGCCAAGAGUAAAUAUCUUGGCGAAUAAGUGGUGGGUAAGACUGGUGCCAGCAGCCGCGGUAACACCAGCGCCACGAGUGGCAAUCAUAAUUAUUGGGCCUAAAGCGUCCGUAGCAGGUUUUGUAAAUCUUUUGUGAAAUCAUACAGCUCAACUGUACGGCUUGCAAGAGAGACUGCAAAACUAGGGACCGGGAGGAGUCAGAGGUAUUCCGGGGGGAGCGGUAAAAUGUGAUAAUCCCUGGAGGACCACCUGUGGCGAAGGCGUCUGACUAGAACGGAUCCGACUGUGAGGGACGAAAGCCAGGGGAGCGAACCGGAUUAGAUACCCGAGUAGUCCUGGCUGUAAACUCUGCGAGCUAGGUGUUGCGUGUUCUACGCGAGCAUGCAGUGUCGUAGCGAAGGCGUUAAGCUCGCCGCCUGGGAAGUAUGGUCGCAAGGCUGAAACUUAAAGGAAUUGGCGGGGGAGCACCACAAGGGGUGCGGCGUGCGGUUUAAUCUAACUCUACGCAGAAAAUCUCACCAGAAGCGACGGCAGGAUGAAAGUCAGUCUGAAGGGCUUACUUGACGAGCCGAGAGGUAGUGCAUGGCCGCCGUCAGCUCGUGCCGUAAGGUGUCCAGUUAAUUCUGGCAACGAGCGAGACCUGUAUCCACAAUUGCUAACGGCCUUUUAAGGGACUGAGCACAUUGUGGAGACUGCCUGGGUAACCAGGAGGAAGGUGCAGGCUACGGUAGGUCUGUAUGCUCCGAAUCUUCUGGGCUACACGCGCGCAACAACGGUACGGACAAUGGGCUGCAACCCUGAAAAGGGAAGCUAAUCCUCGAAACCGUAUCUAAGUCCAGAUUGAGGGCUGCAACUCGCCCUCAUGACGAUGGAAUCCCUAGUAAUCGGAAUUCAACACGUUCCGGUGAAUAUGUCCCUGCUCCUUGUACACACCGCCCGUCAAACCAACCGAGCAGGGUUUAGGUGAGGCUCAGUUUCUUGACUAAGUCGAACCUAAGCUCAGUGAGGUGGGUUAAGUCGUCACAAGGUA